This 461-nucleotide ribosomal RNA is filed under the name uncultured bacterium. RNAcentral describes it as "bacterial SSU rRNA". It matches the Rfam family "Bacterial small subunit ribosomal RNA", at positions 29 to 507 of the family's 1533-position model. The record is from RNAcentral.
AUUGAACGCUGGCGGAAUGCUUUACACAUGCAAGUCGAGCGGCAGCGCGGGGCAACCUGGCGGCGAGCGGCGAACGGGUGAGUAACACGUCGGAACGUGCCCAGACGUGGGGGAUAGCCCGGCGAAAGCCGGAUUAAUACCGCAUACGAUCUAAGGAUGAAAGCGGGGGACUCGCAAGGGCCUCGCGCGUUUGGAGCGGCCGAUGGCAGAUUAGGUAGUUGGUGGGGUAAAGGCUUACCAAGCCUGCGAUCUGUAGCUGGUCUGAGAGGAUGAUCAGCCACACUGGGACUGAGACACGGCCCAGACACCUACGGGUGGCAGCAGUGAGGAAUUUUCCGCAACGGCCGAAUGGCUGACGGAGCGACACAGCGUGGAGGAUGAAGGGUUUCGGCUCGUAGACUCCUUUUCUGAAAGAAUAAGGUCUGAAGUUAUUUCAGGAAUAAGCACCGGCUAACUACGUG